AUUGAACGCUGGCGGCAUGCUUUACACAUGCAAGUCGAACGGUAACAGGUUAAGCUGACGAGUGGCGAACGGGUGAGUAAUGCAUCGGAACGUGCCCGAUCGUGGGGGAUAACGCAGCGAAAGCUGCGCUAAUACCGCAUACGACCUGAGGAUGAAAGCGGGGGACCGUAAGGCCUCGCGCGAUCGGAGCGGCCGAUGUCAGAUUAGGUAGGUGGUGGGGUAAAGGCUCACCAAGCCAACGAUCUGUAGCUGGUCUAUGAGGACGACGAGCCACACUGGGACGGAGAACCGGCACAGACGCCUACGGGAGGAAGCAGUGGGGAAUUUUGGAGGAGGGGCGAAAGCGUGAUCCAGCAAUGCCGCGUGCAGGAAGAAGGCCUUAGGGUUGUAAACUGCUUUUGUACGGAGCGAAAAGGCUCUCUCUAAUACAGGGGGCUCAUGACGGUACCGUAAGAAUAAGCACCGGCUAACUACGUGCCAGCCGCCGCCGUAA
Molecule: ribosomal RNA, 493 nt
Filed under: uncultured bacterium
Lineage: Bacteria
Description: partial 16S ribosomal RNA
Rfam family: Bacterial small subunit ribosomal RNA
Source: RNAcentral